CAGUAGCCGCGGGAAUACAGAGGGUGCGAGCGUUAAUCGGAUUUACUGGGCGUAAAGCGUGCGUAGGCGGCUUUUUAAGUCGGAUGUGAAAUCCCUGAGCUUAACUUAGGAAUUGCAUUCGAUACUGGGAAGCUAGAGUAUGGGAGAGGAUGGUAGAAUUCCAGGUGUAGCGGUGAAAUGCGUAGAGAUCUGGAGGAAUACCGAUGGCGAAGGCAGCCAUCUGGCCUAAUACUGACGCUGAGGUGCGAAAGCGUGGGGAGCAAACAGGAUUAGAUACCCCUGUAGUCCCUGUUUCUUAUAC
This 301-nucleotide ribosomal RNA is filed under the name uncultured bacterium. RNAcentral describes it as "partial 16S ribosomal RNA". It matches the Rfam family "Bacterial small subunit ribosomal RNA", at positions 509 to 807 of the family's 1533-position model. The record is from RNAcentral.